AAAAGGAGAGAGAUGUCCCGUCCCUUCUUUAUGCACAUCCAUCUAAAUAGCAAGACACAAAGGUGUACAAUAUAUACAGGGAAGUUUGAUGCCUCUCUAUAGACC
Molecule: long non-coding RNA, 105 nt
Organism: Cucurbita moschata (crookneck pumpkin)
Lineage: Eukaryota; Viridiplantae; Streptophyta; Magnoliopsida; Cucurbitales; Cucurbitaceae
Exons: 2
Source: RefSeq, a predicted model, not a curated record